GAGUUAGCUAUAGCUACUGAUAUGCUACAAGCACUCUCUUUACUCCUCUCUUCUCCUUCCUUCGUUGACCCUUCCUGUGAGCUCCGCCUUUUUGAACAGUCGCUUUCUUCAACCUUGUCUCUCCUUAUUCUUUUAACCCUUCAAACAUGUUGGUCCGCUUCAGCUUUUGUCAGUGCAAUCUUUGGGAGUUGAUAUAUGGGGGGUGGAGGGAGGGGUUUCAGAGAGUUACAUGGCAUAGAUCUGCAUAAGAACAUCACGUAUCUGUGAGGCAUUUACAUACAAAUCUUUGUCAAUUUUGCAUUUUAUAUCUCUAUUUUUUAUUUAUUUUUUUUGUUUGUUGGAGUAGUAGUAGUGAUUGACAUGCAUUUACAGAGAGCUUUCUUCAGUCCACUCAUGGGUGGCAAUAAGAUUUAAUUAGCUGCCGACUCAUUCAUCCAAAUACUGAGUUAAAGGGCUAGCUGAGGAGGUUACCCAGUAAAUGAGUGAAUGAAGCGGGAGACAAAUUGAAUCUUAAGCUUCCUGUACUUGGACUGAAGGGAGCUCCCUUUACUGUUAUUUUAUCAAAUAAUAUAUAUGUUUUUCUUUUUCUUAGAUUCUUAACUUCUUCUCUACUUGCUUAUUCUCACAAUUUUAUAUUCUCAUGGCUGCCAAUGCUUUUGGUAUAAAGCACUUUGAUGCUCAUGAGGUAAUGCUAGAGAACCCUCAACUUAUCCGUUUUCUUUGAGCGAUCUUUAUCUAGCUUUUCUUAAACUUUUCUUCGAGCUUUGUUAUCUUGUUUGGUGACCUAGAAAGAGAACUGUACAUCUGGCUUAUUAUCUUCUGGGUAUUUCUGAUGCUUUUUUCUUAUGUAUUUUCGCUUCUGUCUGAUCUCCUUUUGCCUCGAAACAAUCAG
This 892-nucleotide long non-coding RNA is filed under the name Manihot esculenta (cassava). RNAcentral's name for it is "long non-coding RNA (MESC_LNC011327)". The stretch from base 362 to 557 matches the Rfam family "MIR159 microRNA precursor family". Lineage: Eukaryota; Viridiplantae; Streptophyta; Magnoliopsida; Malpighiales; Euphorbiaceae. The record is from RNAcentral.